UACGUAGGGGGCUAGCGUUGUCCGGAAUCAUUGGGCGUAAAGAGCGUGUAGGCGGCCAGGUAGGUCUGCUGUGAAAACUCGAGGCUUAACCUCGAGCUGUCGGCGGAAACCAUCUGGCUAGAGUCCGGAAGAGGAGAAUGGAAUUCCCGGUGUAGCGGUGAAAUGCGCAGAUAUCGGGAAGAACACCCGUGGCGAAGGCGGUUCUCUGGGACGGUACUGACGCUGAGACGCGAAAGCGUGGGGAGCGAACGGG
RNAcentral lists this ribosomal RNA (253 nucleotides) under uncultured bacterium. RNAcentral describes it as "partial 16S ribosomal RNA". It matches the Rfam family "Bacterial small subunit ribosomal RNA", at positions 524 to 776 of the family's 1533-position model. The record is from RNAcentral.